RNAcentral lists this ribosomal RNA (253 nucleotides) under uncultured bacterium. Its description in RNAcentral is "partial 16S ribosomal RNA". It matches the Rfam family "Bacterial small subunit ribosomal RNA", at positions 524 to 776 of the family's 1533-position model. The record is from RNAcentral.
UACGUAGGGUCCGAGCGUUGUCCGGAAUUAUUGGGCGUAAAGGGCUCGUAGGCGGUUUGUCGCGUCGGGAGUGAAAACACCGGGCUUAACUCGGUGCUUGCUUUCGAUACGGGCAGACUGGAGGUAUGCAGGGGAGAACGGAAUUCCUGGUGUAGCGGUGAAAUGCGCAGAUAUCAGGAGGAACACCGGUGGCGAAGGCGGUUCUCUGGGCAUUACCUGAUGCUGAGGAGCGAAAGUGUGGGGAGCGAACAGG